Molecule: long non-coding RNA, 273 nt
Organism: Haliotis rufescens (red abalone)
Lineage: Eukaryota; Metazoa; Mollusca; Gastropoda; Lepetellida; Haliotidae
Exons: 3
Source: RefSeq, a predicted model, not a curated record
GUAGGCUGGGGCACGACAUCGGGGGCGACUCCAGUGGAUGUUUCUGAAUCCGCGGAAUUGUUGAAACUCCGAGAGGAAAGCCGGAAAUUACAAGAGGAUAUCAGGGAACUAAAAGAAGAAAACCGGCGUCUGAAAGGAAAUGUUGUCGCUGAUGACAUCGACGAUGGCAUCGUUAUCCGCCUCGGCAUCGCCAUCCGCCUCAGCAACGUCUUCCGCAGCGGCAUCCGCAUCCACACCCACACCCACACCCACACCCACACCCACAACCGCAUC